GGGGGCAACCCUGACCGAGCAACGCCGCGUGAGUGAAGAAGGUUUUCGGAUCGUAAAGCUCUGUUGUAAGUCAAGAACGAGUGUGAGAGUGGAAAGUUCACACUGUGACGGUAGCUUACCAGAAAGGGACGGCUAACUACGUGCCAGCAGCCGCGGUAAUACGUAGGUCCCGAGCGUUGUCCGGAUUUAUUGGGCGUAAAGCGAGCGCAGGCGGUUUGAUAAGUCUGAAGUUAAAGGCUGUGGCUCAACCAUAGUUCGCUUUGGAAACUGUCAAACUUGAGUGCAGAAGGGGAGAGUGGAAUUCCAUGUGUAGCGGUGAAAUGCGUAGAUAUAUGGAGGAACACC
Molecule: ribosomal RNA, 345 nt
Filed under: uncultured bacterium
Lineage: Bacteria
Description: bacterial SSU rRNA
Rfam family: Bacterial small subunit ribosomal RNA
Source: RNAcentral